GAUGAGAUUUCCCAUUUCUUUAAGAAAGUAAGAUCCCUGAGAGAUGAUCAGGUAGAUAGGUCAGGAGUGGAAGUACAGUGAUGUAUGGAGCGGACUGAUACUAAUCGAUCGAGGACUUAACCAA
This 124-nucleotide ribosomal RNA is filed under the name Enterococcus faecium. RNAcentral describes it as "partial 23S ribosomal RNA". It matches the Rfam family "Bacterial large subunit ribosomal RNA", at positions 2803 to 2925 of the family's 2925-position model. The record is from RNAcentral. RNAcentral also lists the same sequence under 1 other name. Lineage: Bacteria; Bacillati; Bacillota; Bacilli; Lactobacillales; Enterococcaceae.